CUUUCCUUCUGCCUCAUUCCCACAUGGUGUGUAAGAAAAAGAAGCUGCUGGAUUGAGCAUUUCGUCUUGGCUGAUCUGGCUUUUGCAUGUAGAAAGAAUGGAUUGCUUUAACUUAAGUGACCAUUGGGCAUCUGUAUGCUGUACUCGUAUACAGAAUGACCGUUUUUGUGACGAUAUUGGCUUGUUAAGAUGAACGAGGUUCCUGUAUGUCAAGUGCAUGAUGUGGGCCAGUGAAGUUGGCUUAAUGCGUGUAGAUGGUGUAUGAAGGCUGUGAUGUUUUGACGUCUUGUACCAGUGUUGCUGUCUGUAAUGAAUGGAGUCUAAUCCUUGACAGGUGAAGCUGUUUGCAUCCUAUAACCCUAAGGGCCCUAUUAAAGCAUGCUGCGUCUUUACCAGGCAGGGUGUAUUGGAGUCUACUGGUCAAGUUGAGACUGACAUGGUACAGCAGUGGCCCUCACCACAAGCUUGUGAUCACCUGGACUGGGAGGGUGAUGUUCUAACACAUGCUCAUGAAGGGAGAGAUUAUCAAGUUAAUGGCUUUUCAUGUGUUGAAUAAAAAUUUGAAAUGAAAAAA
Tachysurus vachellii is the source of this 574-nucleotide long non-coding RNA. RefSeq lists it as uncharacterized. The record is from RefSeq and is a predicted model, not a curated record. Lineage: Eukaryota; Metazoa; Chordata; Actinopteri; Siluriformes; Bagridae. The transcript is spliced from 11 exons.